This 77-nucleotide transfer RNA is filed under the name Burkholderia cenocepacia. Its description in RNAcentral is "tRNA-Lys". It matches the Rfam family "tRNA". From Rfam's summary of the family: Transfer RNA (tRNA) molecules are approximately 80 nucleotides in length. Their secondary structure includes four short double-helical elements and three loops (D, anti-codon, and T loops). Further hydrogen bonds mediate the characteristic L-shaped molecular structure. tRNAs have two regions of fundamental functional importance: the anti-codon, which is responsible for specific mRNA codon recognition, and the 3' end, to which the tRNAs corresponding amino acid is attached (by aminoacyl-tRNA synthetases). tRNAs cope with the degeneracy of the genetic code in two manners: having more than one tRNA (with a specific anti-codon) for a particular amino acid; and 'wobble' base-pairing, i.e. permitting non-standard base-pairing at the 3rd anti-codon position. The record is from RNAcentral. RNAcentral also lists the same sequence under 1 other name. Lineage: Bacteria; Pseudomonadati; Pseudomonadota; Betaproteobacteria; Burkholderiales; Burkholderiaceae.
GGGGGCAUAACUCAGUUGGUUAGAGUACUUGACUUUUAAUCAAGGAGUCGUGAGUUCGAGUCUCACUGCCCCUACCA